AGUGAACGCUGGCGGUAGGCCUAACACAUGCAAGUCGAACGGCAGCACAGUAAGAGCUUGCUCUUACGGGUGGCGAGUGGCGGACGGGUGAGGAAUACAUCGGAAUCUACUUUUUCGUGGGGGAUAACGUAGGGAAACUUACGCUAAUACCGCAUACGACCUACGGGUGAAAGCAGGGGAUCUUCGGACCUUGCGCGAUUGAAUGAGCCGAUGUCGGAUUAGCUAGUUGGCGGGGUAAAGGCCCACCAAGGCGACGAUCCGUAGCUGGUCUGAGAGGAUGAUUACCCACCCUGGAACUGAGACACGGUCCAGACUCCUAGGGGAGGCAGCAGGGGGGAAAUUUGGACAAGGGGGGAAAGCCUGACCCAGCCAUCCCGGGUGGGCGAAGAAGGCCUUCGGGUUGUAAAGCCCUUUUGUUGGGAAAAAAAAGCAGCAGGUUAACACCCCGCUGUUCUGACGGUACCCAAAGAAUAAGCACCGGCUAACUUCGU
This 491-nucleotide ribosomal RNA is filed under the name uncultured bacterium. RNAcentral's name for it is "partial 16S ribosomal RNA". It matches the Rfam family "Bacterial small subunit ribosomal RNA", at positions 29 to 506 of the family's 1533-position model. The record is from RNAcentral.